UACGAAGGGGGCUAGCGUUGCUCGGAAUCACUGGGCGUAAAGCGCACGUAGGCGGAUUGCUAAGUCAGGGGUGAAAUCCUGGAGCUCAACUCCAGAACUGCCUUUGAUACUGGCGAUCUUGAGUCCGGGAGAGGUGAGUGGAACUGCGAGUGUAGAGGUGAAAUUCGUAGAUAUUCGCAAGAACACCAGUGGCGAAGGCGGCUCACUGGCCCGGUACUGACGCUGAGGUGCGAAAGCGUGGGGAGCCAAACAGG
This 254-nucleotide ribosomal RNA is filed under the name uncultured bacterium. RNAcentral describes it as "partial 16S ribosomal RNA". It matches the Rfam family "Bacterial small subunit ribosomal RNA", at positions 524 to 776 of the family's 1533-position model. The record is from RNAcentral.